UGAAAUUACUGGUGGUUGGUAUGC
Molecule: non-coding RNA, 24 nt
Filed under: Arabidopsis thaliana (thale cress)
Lineage: Eukaryota; Viridiplantae; Streptophyta; Magnoliopsida; Brassicales; Brassicaceae
Source: RNAcentral